RNAcentral lists this transfer RNA (77 nucleotides) under Verrucomicrobiota bacterium. RNAcentral describes it as "tRNA-Arg". It matches the Rfam family "tRNA". Rfam says of the family: Transfer RNA (tRNA) molecules are approximately 80 nucleotides in length. Their secondary structure includes four short double-helical elements and three loops (D, anti-codon, and T loops). Further hydrogen bonds mediate the characteristic L-shaped molecular structure. tRNAs have two regions of fundamental functional importance: the anti-codon, which is responsible for specific mRNA codon recognition, and the 3' end, to which the tRNAs corresponding amino acid is attached (by aminoacyl-tRNA synthetases). tRNAs cope with the degeneracy of the genetic code in two manners: having more than one tRNA (with a specific anti-codon) for a particular amino acid; and 'wobble' base-pairing, i.e. permitting non-standard base-pairing at the 3rd anti-codon position. RNAcentral also lists the same sequence under 1 other name. The record is from RNAcentral. Lineage: Bacteria; Pseudomonadati; Verrucomicrobiota.
GCGCUCGUAGCUCAGCUGGAUAGAGCAUCCGCCUUCUAAGCGGACGGUCGCGCGUUCGACUCGCGCCGAGCGCACCA